This is a long non-coding RNA of Biomphalaria glabrata, 672 nucleotides long. RefSeq lists it as uncharacterized. The record is from RefSeq and is a predicted model, not a curated record. The transcript has 3 exons. Lineage: Eukaryota; Metazoa; Mollusca; Gastropoda; Planorbidae.
CUGCGCAACCACGUGACUCGCACUCACAAGACAAACCUUAUUAUUAUUAGUUUUGGAACGAAGUAUAAUCGACUUGACUUUGAACCCGACAUAGUGACGACAUAGGCAUUGGGAUUCAAGAUUAGGAUUGUAGAUUUUUAGAUCCAGUUAUUGCUAGGCUCUCAAGGGGGAUAACAUUGUCGUAGUGACUGACUCAACUGUGGCCCAUUCUGAAUUAAAGAUUGUUAUGAUGUUUUGUUUGUUUGUUUUACAUAAUUCGGAUGUUCCUUCAGAGUUGAAGAUAGUUUACUUCCUAGUCCAAACCUCCCGCAGGACGACGGGGGAUGGAAGCGGGCAGGGUUUGAACCCUCGACCGUCGAUAAAUCCGAACGACAGUCCAGCGAGCAAACCGCACGACCAGGCAGCCAUCUCAAGUGACUGUCCAUUGAGCCUGUUCGUUACUUUUCGCUCUUUGUGACGUCAUGUAGUUCGAUAUUUUCGGACUCGCACCUGUAAUACACGAUCUACAAUUAUCAAGCCCAGGGUGAAGAAGGCGUGACUAAAAUACUAAAGUUAGUUGAAGCAGAGCUGGCAAAGUUAAAGAUAAAGUAUGCUGUAAGUUAUUUGACUAAUUUCAUGGAGCUGGAACAUUCUCAAGAGAUAAAGAAUAAGCAGCUUAAACAAGCGAAGGAC